UUGGAGGGCAAGUUUGGUGCCAGCAGCCGCGGUAAUACCGACUCCAAGAGUGUGUAUGAGAGAUGCUGCAGUUAAAAAGUCCGUAGUCAUAGAAGGGCAAAGAGAGAUGCGAGGUCUCACAGUGCGAUGAUGGAGGAGCCGAUGGGGAACAUAGUAUACCAGGGCGAGAGAUGAAAUGCCAAGACCCCUGGUGGACUGAGCGAGGCGAAGGCGAUGUUCUUGUAGGCAUUCGGUGAUCAAGGACGAAGGCUGGAGUAUCGAAAGUGAUUAGAUACCGCAGUAGUUCCAGCAGUAAAAGAUGCCGACAUGCUCAUUGGACACAGUGGGCAGGGAGAAAUCUUAGAGUUCGGGCUCUGGGGAUAGUAUGCUCGCAAGGGUGAAAAUUAAAGAAAUUGACGGAGCUACACCACAAGGAGUGGAUUGUGCGGCUUAAUUUGACUCAACGCGAGGAAACUUACCAGGGCCAAGUAUUGUGUAGAAACGAGCAAUACAGGAGUGGUGCAUGGUCGUUGGAAAUUGAUGGGAUGACUUUGACCUUAAAUGGUUGAAUGAGUGAGAUCUUUUGGACAUGUUCCGCACGGAACAGGAAGGAAAAGGCUAUAACAGAUCCGAGAUGCCCUCAGAUGCCCUGGGCUGCACGCGCAAUACAAUAGCAGGUAGAGAGAGAGACAGGAAGGUGCUCAGAUGGACUAUGUGCUGUAAGGCACAUACGAAAGAGGAAUUCCUAGUAAGUGUGUAUCAACAAUGGAUAU
Molecule: ribosomal RNA, 752 nt
Filed under: Vittaforma corneae
Lineage: Eukaryota; Fungi; Microsporidia; Nosematidae
Description: SSU rRNA
Rfam family: Microsporidia small subunit ribosomal RNA
Source: RNAcentral